This 1588-nucleotide ribosomal RNA is filed under the name Vibrio parahaemolyticus NIHCB0757. RNAcentral's name for it is "bacterial LSU rRNA". It matches the Rfam family "Bacterial large subunit ribosomal RNA", at positions 1364 to 2925 of the family's 2925-position model. Lineage: Bacteria; Pseudomonadati; Pseudomonadota; Gammaproteobacteria; Vibrionales; Vibrionaceae. The record is from RNAcentral.
GUUAAUCGGGGCAGGGUAAGUCGGACCCUAAGGCGAGGCCGAAAGGCGUAGUCGAUGGGAAACGGGUUAAUAUUCCCGUACUUCUUACAAUUGCGAUGGGGGGACGGAGAAGGCUAGUGGGCCUGGCGACGGUUGUCCAGGUUCAAGUGCGUAGGCUUAAGAGUUAGGUAAGAUCCGGCUCUUUUUAAGGCUGAGACACGGACGUCGAGCACCUACGGGGUGUGAAGUCAUUGGAUGCCAUGCUUCCAGGAAAAGCCUCUAAGCUUCAGAUUGUAAGGAAUCGUACCCCAAACCGACACAGGUGGUCGGGUAGAGAAUACCAAGGCGCUUGAGAGAACUCGGGUGAAGGAACUAGGCAAAAUGGGUACCGUAAACUUCGGGAGAAGGUACGCUCUCGACGGUGAAGUCCCUUGCGGAUGGAGCUAAUUGAGAGUCGCAGAUACCAGGUGGCUGCAACUGUUUAUUAAAAACACAGCACUGUGCAAAAUCGUAAGAUGACGUAUACGGUGUGACGCCUGCCCGGUGCCGGAAGGUUAAUUGAUGGGUUAGACUUCGGUCGAAGCUCUUGAUCGAAGCCCCCGGUAAACGGCGGCCGUAACUAUAACGGUCCUAAGGUAGCGAAAUUCCUUGUCGGGUAAGUUCCGACCUGCACGAAUGGCGUAAUGAUGGCCACGCUGUCUCCACCCGAGACUCAGUGAAAUUGAAAUCGCUGUGAAGAUGCAGUGUACCCGCGGCUAGACGGAAAGACCCCGUGAACCUUUACUACAGCUUGGGCACUGAACAUUGACCUACAUGGUGUAGGAUAGGUGGAGGCUUUGAAGCACGUACGCCAGUAUGUGUGGAGCCGUCCUUGAUAAUACACCCUUGUAGUGUUGAUGUUCUAACGUCGACCCCUAAUCGGGGUUGCGGACAGUGCCUGGUGGGUAGUUUGACUGGGGCGGUCUCCUCCCAAAGAGUAACGGAGGAGCCACGAAGGUGGGCUAAUCACGGUUGGACAUCGUGAGGUUAGUGCAAUGGCAUAAGCCCGCUUGACUGCGAGAAUGACAAUUCGAGCAGGUGCGAAAGCAGGUCAUAGUGAAUCCGGUGGUUCUGAAUGGAAGGGCCAUCGCUCAACGGAUAAAAGGUACUCGGGGAUAACAGGCUGAUACCGCCCAAGAGUUCAUAUCGACGGCGGUGUUUGGCACCUCGAUGUCGGCUCAUCACAUCCUGGGGCUGAAGUCGGUCCAAGGGUAUGCUGUUCGCCAUUUAAAGUGGUACGCGAGCUGGGUUUAGAACGUCGUGAGACAGUUCGGUCCCUAUCUGCCGUGGGCGUUGGAAGAUUGAAGGGGGCUGCUCCUAGUACGAGAGGACCGGAGUGGACGAACCUCUGGUGUUCGGGUUGUGUCGCCAGACGCAUUGCCCGGUAGCUAAGUUCGGAAUCGAUAACCGCUGAAAGCAUCUAAGCGGGAAGCGAGCCCUGAGAUGAGUCUUCCCUGAUACUUUAAGUAUCCUAAAGGGUUGUCGGAGACUACGACGUUGAUAGGUCAGGUGUGUAAGUGCUGUGAGGCAUUGAGCUAACUGAUACUAAUUGCCCGUGAGGCUUAACCAU